GGCGCCGUGGCUCGCUGGUUAAAGCGCCCGUCUUAUAAACAGGAGAUCACGAGUUCGAAUCUCGUCGGUGCCU
Non-coding RNA from Trichonephila inaurata madagascariensis, 73 nucleotides. The record is from the annotation of a GenBank genome assembly. NCBI's taxonomy places the organism in Eukaryota, Metazoa, Arthropoda, Arachnida, Araneae, Nephilidae.